UUGCUCUGAUGAUUCAUG
This 18-nucleotide non-coding RNA is filed under the name Arabidopsis thaliana (thale cress). The record is from RNAcentral. Lineage: Eukaryota; Viridiplantae; Streptophyta; Magnoliopsida; Brassicales; Brassicaceae.